RNAcentral lists this long non-coding RNA (1811 nucleotides) under Anas platyrhynchos platyrhynchos (common mallard). Its description in RNAcentral is "lncRNA (ENSAPLG00000025796.1)". The record is from RNAcentral. Lineage: Eukaryota; Metazoa; Chordata; Aves; Anseriformes; Anatidae.
CUCAACUACGCCGAGUAAAACAAGAGGAAAAGCGGCUUCCUCUCCUUCCUCCGCGCAAACUUUUGGCACGGGCCUGGCGCUGUGUGUGUGGCGUUCUCCCCGUGCCGCGCUGACGCACGGGGCCGGCGGGCAGCGGCCGCGGUCGCUCCUGGCAACGGCGGCGCCAAUGGCAGCCGGGCGCUGCCGGGCGCUGCCAUGGCGAUCCCGCGGCUCGCCAUGGCGGCGGCGGGCCCCGUCCCGUCCCGUCCCUCACCUGUAAGGGAUCCAGUCCGCCUGGUGCCUCGAACUCAUCUCUCCACGGCGGCGGUGCCCGGAGCCGGGGGAGUCUCAAAACGGUUGGUGAUGGAAGACACCUUUGGAGAUCAUCUUGCCCAGCCCCUCUGCCUAGAGCUGUGCCAGCUACAGCAGGUUUCUCAAGGCCAUGGUCAGGUAAGUGUUGAUUAUCUCCAAGAAUGGAGACUCUCCAACAUUUCUGAGCAACUUGGGCCACUGUUUAACUGUCCUCAUAAUGAAGAGGUGUUGUCUUAUGUCUGAAUGGAAUUUCCUGUAUAUCAAUGUGUCUUUUACUUGUGUUGUUUCCUCUGAGCUAAGUCACAUUAUUUUGCAUUCAACCAACAAGAGGGGAACGACUGUAGCUCCCUUUGUCAUCAUGACAAAUCCAAAGGACCUUGAGGUGUCCUUGCAGUACAAAAACAGGCUCUGUUAACUCAGACUGGGAGAACCAUCCUGAAAUUCUUGUAAGCUGUUAGCAAAUGGUAACAUGUCUUAGCCUGCUGAAAAGAUAAAACCCAAACUGUUUCUUUGCAUCAAAUAGUCUUUCCUUUGCAGUAUGGUGAGUAGGCAACUGUACUUAAUACUGCAAAGCCUCAGGAUUAAUCUGAAGCUAAGUACAUCCUUCAUAGCUAUUCCGUAAAACUGUCUACCCCAGCUGAGCAUACAGUUUUCAAUGUACAUGCUUAGCUUUUGGGGAACUAAACAACAACAAAAACGGUUUUAAAAAUCCUGCCUAAUCUCAGAAAUAAUUGCAACCCACAGACGUUUCAAACUGAGACAUGACUUAUGUGCCUUUAAAAGCUGUUAGCUUCACCUGACAAUGAGCCAGAAAAUUAAAAUGCUCCCAGCAGAACUUGUGAGUAGAACCAGAAACACUUUGCCAUAGGUGUUCAUUUGGAUCAUGAUAAUGACCUCCUUUUAUACUCUCUAGAUUUCUUCUUCCAUCUAACAUGUAUACUGAAAGAAGUCAGUUUAUUUAGGAAAAAAAUGAGCCAUGGGCUCUGAAAAAAAAGUUAACGUUCCAUUACACUGUAACACAGAAUUGCAAUCAAAUUAAAAUGAGGUUGAAUUCACUGUACAAGCAAAAUUAUUUGAAUGAUUUUGUCCAGAGCCAGAGCAGCUAGAAAAGUGGGAGACUAGCUUUGCAAUAAUUGAGCAUUUUGAUAAUUAGAAAACAUGCUAAUGUUUAGAAAGCAUCUUCAAGGUCUUCAGAUGAUGUUUAAGAUCAAAUAGUAUUAAGUUACUCUUUUCAGUUGCUUUCUUUAAAAAGGUAUUGCUAGUGAAACUUUGCACAAGGAACAAGAAUAACUACUGAAAUUGUUUUUCUACUCUCUUCCCAGUACAAUGGGUUAAAUAUAUUUGAGCAUGCAAUAGAAAUACCCAGCUGUCAUUCAGAAUUAAUGCUACUUACUAGCUUGAUUUACUGCAAUCAUCUACACUCUUGGAAAUAUAUAACAUUAUUUGUAAUAUGACUGCUUUACACCAUCGUUAUAAUACAAUACAAUAAAAUGUUGCGUUCACAUUAGAGAUGAUAACCU